This 1584-nucleotide long non-coding RNA is filed under the name Zea mays. Its description in RNAcentral is "long non-coding RNA (ZMAY_LNC001083)". The record is from RNAcentral. Lineage: Eukaryota; Viridiplantae; Streptophyta; Magnoliopsida; Poales; Poaceae.
CGAUUCUGCCAUCUAUGAGGAAGAGCCGAGAAGGAAUUCGCCACCGCGGGUAUUUCGGAACCACGCCGUUGAUUGGGGCUUGGCUAUUGCACUACGGGGAUCGACGGUGGGCCUCGAAGUUCUCGGUGUAGUCGGUGGGCGGCGAGGGACCUUGUGGCCACCGGAAUUCCUCACCGCACCUGCUGCCCAGUCGUAGAACCUGCUCGCGCCGUAGCCCGACUCCUCUGCGACGUCAUUGCCGGUAAGGUGCCCUUGGCCAUGUUCGCCGUCAUUACUGCCUUGCGUAGCAUUCGUAGAAUCGAUGUUUGGGCGCGUGGUUCGGAGUUUGGGCGACACCGGCCAUGGUGCUGCCGCGGGCGCUCUAGCACCGCCGCACGCGUAGUGGAACGGGAUUGAGUCAUCAGGAGCAGUGUGAUAGGAUGCAUCGCAACCGUAGAUCAGCAGAGGAACAAACGAGAGUGGUCCAUGGGUAUUUAACGGCUGGCCGUUGGAUGGGGAUUUGAUAGCGUAGAUUAGAAUCUGGGGCAUUGUUUCAUAUGAGUGGAUAUGAUCUGUCCGAUCUAGAUCGGAGGGGUGCACUCAUGUAUUGUUUAUUUAAAUCUGGUCCGCAGAUCUGAUGUUGUGCGGUUCACGUGGCAUACCGAUUCGCUUUAGGGUUAUUCUAAUCUCGACCGUGGGAGUUUGAUCUGACGGCCAGUACUUCAUGAUACCCCUUCACCGUGACAGAGUUUCUAAAGAGCCCCUGGAAUAGUAGAGAAUCAACCCGCAGUCCAAGGUGACUGUGCUCUGAGUCUAUGGAAUCUUUCACUGAGGCCCCUGGUGUUCGGUUUAAUCUUGUGCGGCAGCCUAGAGUUCAGUAAAAAUGAAUAAAUGAUAAAGGAAAUGGAUUUUUAGUAUGAAAUUAAUUGCAACAACUUGUAUAAAUGUAGAAAAUUCAUAUGAGCUCCAAAUUGGUCCAUUCCAGUUCCUAUAAUUCUGUAUUAAUAUUUUCUAUAACUAUGUAAUACUAUUUUAACAUGAAAAUUGUAUUAAGUUUGAUCUCUUAAUUAAUCUUUUGACAGACACAUAGAACCUUCAGAAAUUUAUAACUCACAAUCCGUAACUCCAAUUUGAUCCGUUCAAGUUGCGUUAGUCUCGUAUAAACAUUUACUAUGCAAUAACAAUAUUUAUUGUACCAUGUCUCAUUCUUUUAUAAUUAGAGCUUUAUUUAACCUAUGUUGGUUAGUCUUGUUAAUCUACUUAUCAUCAUAAUCUACUAAAAUGUGAUACAUGGUCAAUUUAUAAUUUAGAUUAAAGUUGAAUUAAUUACUACUUUAGCUUAUCUUUUCUUUGGAAUUAUAAAACAAACAUAGAACCUGAUGUUAAUCAUUUAAUCACAUCAUAACUUGAUGACCACGACUUCGAUCUUAGAAGUUCUCGAUCUCACGACCUCGUAGCGACGCGUAGACCAUUAUUAUUCAGUUUGUUCUUAUGUUUGGUGCCAUGUUAAUUUAUCUAUACCAUGUUUGUUUGUAUUGCUAUGACUAGCAGUGAGGUCACAAGGAUCUAAAGAAUCACCCUGGUAACUGGAAUCUCAAUUGCCAG